Molecule: ribosomal RNA, 450 nt
Filed under: uncultured prokaryote
Description: bacterial SSU rRNA
Rfam family: Bacterial small subunit ribosomal RNA
Source: RNAcentral
UAAGGAAUAUUGGACAAUGGGCGCAAGCCUGAUCCAGCCACGCCGCGUGAGUGAUGAAGGCCUUCGGGUUGUAAAGCUCUGUGGGGAGGGAACUGAAUGCGCACACCUAAUACGGUGUGCAUUCGAGGGUAUCUCCUUAGCAAGCACCGGCUAACUCUGUGCCAGCAGCCGCGGUAAGACAGAGGGUGCAAACGUUGCUCGGAAUCACUGGGCGUAAAGCGCGUGUAGGCGGGCCAGCAAGUCAGGUGUGAAAUCCCAGGGCUCAACCCUGGAACUGCAUUUGAAACUGUAGGUCUUGAGUAUCGGAGAGGGUAGCGGAAUUCCUGGUGUAGAGGUGAAAUUCAUAGAUAUCAGGAGGAACAUCGGUGGCGAAGGCGGCUACCUGGACGAAUACUGACGCUGAGACGCGAAAGUGUGGGGAGCGAACAGGAUUAGAUACCCCCGUAGUCC